GAAGAGGCAGCCACCAACCA
RNAcentral lists this non-coding RNA (20 nucleotides) under Arabidopsis thaliana (thale cress). The record is from RNAcentral. Lineage: Eukaryota; Viridiplantae; Streptophyta; Magnoliopsida; Brassicales; Brassicaceae.